GACAGAGGGUGCAAACGUUGCUCGGAAUUACUGGGCGUAAAGGGCUCGUAGGCGGCCAACUAAGUCAGACGUGAAAUCCCUCGGCUUAACCGGGGAACUGCGUCUGAUACUGGAUGGCUUGAAUCCGGGAGAGGGAUGCGGAAUUCCAGGUGUAGCGGUGAAAUGCGUAGAUAUCUGGAGGAACACCGGUGGCGAAGGCGGCAUCCUGGACCGGCAUUGACGCUGAGGAGCGAAAGCCAGGGGAGCAAACGGG
This 253-nucleotide ribosomal RNA is filed under the name uncultured bacterium. RNAcentral's name for it is "partial 16S ribosomal RNA". It matches the Rfam family "Bacterial small subunit ribosomal RNA", at positions 524 to 776 of the family's 1533-position model. The record is from RNAcentral.